This 438-nucleotide ribosomal RNA is filed under the name Triticum aestivum (bread wheat). RNAcentral's name for it is "partial small subunit ribosomal RNA". The record is from RNAcentral. Lineage: Eukaryota; Viridiplantae; Streptophyta; Magnoliopsida; Poales; Poaceae.
UCCAGGUUCUUCUGGGCGGGAAAGGAUAAUAAGCAGAAGUACCAUAUGGUGAAAUGGUCGGAGAUCUGCAAACCAAAGGACUAGGGUGGCUUGGGCAUUAUCUCAUCCAAGCAGUUGAACAUUGCACUCCUUUCCAAGUGGCUAUGGAGGAUUACCUCAGGGGAGGACGGGCUCUGGUUGGAUAUCACCAACGCAAAAUACUUGCGUGGCCAGGGCCUAGCGUUUGCACAGAAAUCGGGGGGCUCCCAGUUUUGGCAAAUGAUCAUUGAGCUAUUGCCGGUCCUCCGCAUCGACUCUUCCAUUUUGGUUGGUGCUAGUACCACCACCCUCUUUUGGUUAGACCGAUGGUUCGGCCCCCAACCUUUCGCCAUCCGGUUUCAACCACCGUUCAACAUAUGUGUGGAUCCUAACCUCACCGUCGUGGCCGCCCCUGCAUGA